RNAcentral lists this ribosomal RNA (253 nucleotides) under uncultured bacterium. Its description in RNAcentral is "partial 16S ribosomal RNA". It matches the Rfam family "Bacterial small subunit ribosomal RNA", at positions 524 to 776 of the family's 1533-position model. The record is from RNAcentral.
UACGGAGGAUCCAAGCGUUAUCCGGAAUCAUUGGGUUUAAAGGGUCCGCAGGCGGAUUUAUAAGUCAGUGGUGAAAUCCCGUUGCUUAACAACGGAACUGCCAUUGAUACUGUAAGUCUUGAAUUCGAUCGAAGUGGGCGGAAUAUGACAUGUAGCGGUGAAAUGCUUAGAUAUGUCAUAGAACACCGAUAGCGAAGGCAGCUCACUAGGUCUGGAUUGACGCUCAGGGACGAAAGCGUGGGGAGCAAACAGG